CCUCCCUUCUUCUCUCUUCUCCCUCCUUCCCCUUUUCUCUCUUCCUUUCUCCCUCCUCCCUUCUUUCCCUUGGUUCCAUGAUGCUUUGCACCUCAGUACUCAGAUGCCUUGUGAAAAGAGUGCCAGUUUUACUGCCCAUUCUUCUGAUGGUGGCAGAAAGGAGGGGAACAACUUGGCACCAUUUGGAGACAAAGCAUGCCACGGAUCUGAGAGUGUCCUCCUUAGCUUUCACUCCCUUGCUGAUUUUAGGCCACUUUCCUAAUAUCCAGGACCUUUUGUGGGUGAAGGGCACAAAAUGGGCAUCCAGAAAUGUAUGGGCAGGGGCUGACCCGAACAAAACGAGAGAAGCACGGACCUCAAAAAAGGGUAAGUGUGUCCUUGUGCUGGCGGGGAAGGGGAAUGAUAGCUUACAGUAGAUACAGUUGGAAGGAUGAGCUGUGAGAUGGGGAGGGGGGGAGAGAACAAAGCUAGCACAGGUUGGAGAGCUGCCAAGAGACUUGGCAGAGAUGCCCUGCAAGGCUGGGUUAGCGUGGACAUGACCGGGUGUGCUUGGACAUAGAAAUGGCAACAUGCGGAAAGGUGGAGGAAGGGGAAAGGUGGAAUUCUGAAGUGCUCCACUGGACCCUUGUUUUCUCCACUUGAUGUAUUUUGUAGAUGGCCUUUUUAAAAAAAAUAUAUUAAAGUUAGCAAAACAUUAUAUCUUCUUCACUCAGUGUCCUGUUCAUUCUUUUUUAUUGUUGUUUUUGUUUACAUCAGUCGGGCAAGAGGCUGGAUUUGGCUCAUGCGGCAGCUCACACACUGAUCGAAUUGAAUCCUGGCCAAGGAAAUGGUGUGGGCUGCUUGUCUCCUUUGGGAAAGGGGGAGUGAUGUGUGUCUGGGUGCGAGAGAAAGAGAGGAUGAGAGGAAUUGGCCGUGAGCUGCCAAACCGCCUCUCUGUGCUGGCAACAAAAGAGACAAGGGGAUCCGAGCAGGCCUUAUACAUUCGGACCCCUUGGGUGAUAGGGCUUCACCCCAUCAGCUUGUUAUGGGGCUUCGACUUCUUCACAUUGAGCCUCUCAGGACAGGUUAGAAUGAAGAAGUGAAGACAUUAUGCCACCUGCCCAUCCUUUUUGUGUAGUUUGAAGGGGGAAUUAUGGCAGAGACUAGAACUUCCAUUUGUUGUAGCAAGUAUUUCCAACAGUGAAAAAAUGAUAACUUGUUCAUCAUUGUUGGAUAUGCUGGCUAUUAUAGAUAAGAACUGUACUCCAACAUCUGUACUCUGUAGGUCCAUAUAUUUUCCAAUUCCUGCCCACUAGUGAGAUGAAUGCCCACUUGAGAGUCCCCUGGACUGCAAGGAGAUCAAACCUAUCCGUUCUGAAGGAAAUCAACCCUGAGAGCUCACUGGAAGGACAGAUCUUGAAGCUGAGGCUCCAAUCCUUUGGCCAUCUCAUGAGAAGAGAAGACUCCCUGGAAAGGACCCUGAUGUUGGGAAAGAGUGAAGGCAAGAGGAGGAGGGGACGGCAGAGGAUGAGAUGGCUGGAUAGUGUCACUGAAGCUACCAACAUGAAUAUGACCCAAAACCGAGUCGAUAAAUAGGUACCACCUCGGUGGGAAGGUAAACAGCAUUCUGUGUCUAGUCACGCUGGCCAUGUGACCACAGAGGAUUGUCUGCGGACAAACGCUAGCUCUAUGGGUUGGAAAUGGAGAUGAGCACCGCCGCCUAGAGUCGGACAUGACUGGACAAACUGUCAAGGGGAACCUUUAUAAAUGAGUACACAAUUCUUGGAUGAUUAAAAAAAUUGCCAUCCAAAUAAGUCUCAAAGUUUUUCAGCUCUAGGACUCUGAGAUCAGAUUAUAGAGUAGUGAUGGCUUUAUAGAUAUGAAGAAACCAUAUUCGUGUUUCCCCAUUUUUGCAGUGAUUCCUUCUCUCUUUAUAUCCCCCACAUGAAAGGCCUAAUCUGGGGUCUGGGUGUACAAGUGUGUGCGGCUUCUGAUUGUCUUUUCAUGUAGACCCCAUCAUAUUAUGAAACCUUAAGCCACAUCUCUUUUUGACGCACCUAAAAAUAUCACACAGUGCCGAAACUGUCUCCACCAAUAAUUUUAAUAAACUUUGAAAUAUGGCAACUAAAAACA
Molecule: long non-coding RNA, 2112 nt
Filed under: Pogona vitticeps (central bearded dragon)
Lineage: Eukaryota; Metazoa; Chordata; Lepidosauria; Squamata; Agamidae
Description: lncRNA (ENSPVIG00000017159.1)
Source: RNAcentral